Long non-coding RNA from Ctenopharyngodon idella (grass carp), 400 nucleotides. RefSeq lists it as uncharacterized. The transcript is spliced from 3 exons. The record is from RefSeq and is a predicted model, not a curated record. NCBI's taxonomy places the organism in Eukaryota, Metazoa, Chordata, Actinopteri, Cypriniformes, Xenocyprididae.
UGAGAUUUUUAACAAAAACUGCUGCAAAAAUGGUCCUCAGAAUUACUUGUUUCAUAAGCAUACUAGUCUCUAUGGAAAUGUGCAAAAGUCAGACACUGACUGAGUCUGAGUCAGUCGUCCUCAAACCUGGGAACGAACAUAAACUGACCUGUACUUUCUCUGGGAUUGAAGUUGAUAAUGCAGUUAUUUCAUGGAUAAGACAGGCUGAAGGGAAAGGGCUUGAGUGGAUCUCACUUAUUUCUGCUCCAAGCGGCAGUAGCAAAUAUUACUCUAAAACCGUUGAAGGACGAUUCACCAUCUCCAGAGACAACAGUAAAAUGCAGGUGUAUCUGCACAUGACAAAUCUACAGGCUGAGGACACUGCUGUUUAUUACUGUGCCCGAAGAACACAGUAACACAA